RNAcentral lists this ribosomal RNA (253 nucleotides) under uncultured bacterium. RNAcentral describes it as "partial 16S ribosomal RNA". It matches the Rfam family "Bacterial small subunit ribosomal RNA", at positions 524 to 776 of the family's 1533-position model. The record is from RNAcentral.
UACAUGGGGUGCAAACGUUGCUCGGAAUUAUUGGGCGUAAAGCGCACGUAGGCGGUUUGUUAAGUCGGAUGUGAAAUCCCUCGGCUCAACUGAGGAAGUGCAUCCGAAACUGGCAAGCUUGAGUACGAAAGAGGGUCGCGGAAUUCCCGGUGUAGAGGUGAAAUUCGUAGAUAUGCGGAGGAACACCGAUGGCGAAGGCAAUCCCCUGGGCCUGUACUGACGCUCAUGCACGAAAGCGUGGGGAGCAAACAGG